CCCUACUUAAGGAUGCGGAUCAUUCGCAAGUAUUUUAGUGAUUUACUUGGAGGGUGUGAAUGGUAUGGUCCCGGAAGUAGAACAGUUAUUGUUACAAGCAGAGAAGACAGGCGCUUAAAAAUGCAAACGCUAGAGAAUAUACCCACAAGGUUGAAGAAUUAAGCGAUCGUUAAGCUCUGCAAUUGUUUAGUUUGCAUGCUUUCCAACGAAAUCACGUCAAACAUAUGUUUCGUUUAGUUUGCAGGAAAGGUUAUGGCUUUAUUCAUCUAUGACCCUGCAAUUGUUUUAGGACCUCUCUCCUCCAAAUCCCAGCCCUUUAGUCUUCAAAUCUCUAUUUUUG
This 340-nucleotide unclassified non-coding RNA is filed under the name Hevea brasiliensis (rubber tree). Lineage: Eukaryota; Viridiplantae; Streptophyta; Magnoliopsida; Malpighiales; Euphorbiaceae. The record is from RNAcentral.